GGGAGCGGGCUUGCUCGCGAAGAGGCCCUUAGGCUCGACAUCAAUGUCGAACGUGAUGCCGCCUUCGCGAGCAAGCCCGCUCCC
RNAcentral lists this unclassified non-coding RNA (84 nucleotides) under Pseudomonas thivervalensis. The record is from RNAcentral. Lineage: Bacteria; Pseudomonadati; Pseudomonadota; Gammaproteobacteria; Pseudomonadales; Pseudomonadaceae.